RNAcentral lists this unclassified non-coding RNA (160 nucleotides) under uncultured Ascomycota. RNAcentral describes it as "sequence contains ITS1". The record is from RNAcentral. Lineage: Eukaryota; Fungi; Ascomycota.
CAGAGUUACUAAACUCCCAAACCCAUGUGAACUUACCUAUGUUGCCUCGGCGGACGCCUACCCUGUACCUACCCUGUAGUUACCCGGUAGAGCGGCCGCCGGCGGACCUUCAAACUCUUGUUUUAAUAUGGUUAUUCUGAGUUAUUACUAUAAUAAGUUA